CCUACGGGAGGCAGCAGUGAGGAAUAUUGGUCAAUGGGCGCGAGCCUGAACCAGCCAAGUAGCGUGAAGGAAGACUGCCCUAGGGGUUGUAAACUUCUUUUAUAAAGGAAUAAAGUGAGGCACGUGUGCCUGUUUGUAUGUACUUUAUGAAUAAGGAUCGGCUAACUCCGUGCCAGCAGCCGCGGUAAUACGGAGGGUCCGAGCGUUAUCCGGAUUUAUUGGGUUUAAAGGGAGCGUAGAUGGGUUGUUAAGUCAGUUGUGAAAGGUUGCGGCUCAACCGUAAAAUUGCAAUUGAUACUGGAAGCCUUGAGUGCAGUUGAGGUAGGCGGAAUUCGUGGUGUAGCGGUGAAAUGCUUAGAUAUCACGAAGAACUCCGAUGGCGAAGGCAGCCUACUGGACUGCAACUGACGUUGAGGCUCGAAAGUGUGGGUAUCAAACAGGAUUAGAUACCCGUGUAGUC
RNAcentral lists this ribosomal RNA (460 nucleotides) under uncultured bacterium. Its description in RNAcentral is "partial 16S ribosomal RNA". It matches the Rfam family "Bacterial small subunit ribosomal RNA", at positions 338 to 795 of the family's 1533-position model. The record is from RNAcentral.